This 3327-nucleotide small RNA is filed under the name Pongo abelii (Sumatran orangutan). RNAcentral describes it as "processed transcript". Lineage: Eukaryota; Metazoa; Chordata; Mammalia; Primates; Hominidae. The record is from RNAcentral.
UAUUGAGCACUGACUGUGUACCCUGCAUGUGCUAAGUGCUUUACGUGCACUCUCGAAUUUAACAUUAGAAGUACUCACCAUGUCAGGUGGAGGUUGCAGUGAGCCAAGAUUGCACCACUGUACUCAAGUCUGGGCAACAGAGUGAGACCCUGUCUCAAAAAAAAAAAAAAAAAUUAGAGAUGGAGUGUUGCUAUGUUGCCCAGGUUGGACUCGAACUCUUGGACUCAAGCAUUCCUCCUGCCUCAGCCUCCUGAAUAGCUGGGACUAAAGGCACAUGCCAUCACACCCAGCUGGUAAAAUUAACUUUCAAUAAGCAUGAAGAGUAGUGAUGAAGAGGUCAGGGCUAGAGCCAGAUGGCCUGAAUUUAAAUCCUGCUUUCUCCUCUCUAGCUGUGUAGUAGCUGUGGGCAAGUUAUUUAAACUCUUUGAGCCUCUGAUUUCUCACCUGUCCAGGGCAGAUAUGAACAGGCCCACCUAACAGUGUUGCAAGGAUUCAGUGAGUUCACAUGAAGUGAUUAGAAGUGAUUGGGGCCAGGUGCGGUGGCUUACGCCUGUAAUCUCAGAACUUUGGGAGGCUGAGGCAGGAAGAUCACUUGAGGUCGGGAGUUCGAGACCAGCCUGACCAACAUGGAGAAACCCCGUCUCCAGUAAAAAUACAAAAUUAGCCGGACGUGGUAGCACAUGCCUGUAAUCCCAGCUACUCGGGAGGCUGAGGCAGGAGAAUCGCUUGAACCUGGGAAGCAGAGGUUGCAGUGAGCCGAGAUUGCGCCAUUGCACUCCAGCCUGGGCAACAAGAGCAAAAAAAAAGAAGUGAUUGGGCUGACUGAGUCCACACCACAUGAAGGGAUUAGAAGUGAUGCAUAGUGGAUGUGCAGAAAGUCCUCUCUUAAGGAUUAGGGUCAAAAAGAAAAAGAAAGGAAAGGGAAAAUGCUCACCAUUUGAGACCUGUCUGGAAAUUGCUGUACUUACUAUAAAUUUCUUCUCAGCUCCAACAUCUUUGAUCGUGAUUUUAUCAGGAAAAUACUAAUAAAGCCACUGUUUUGUUCAACUUCUGAUACUUGCUUUUUGAAAAAAUAAUAAUACCUUUGCCUUUUUAAGGAUUCAGUGAAAAUGCUGUUCUUCAACUUCAUUUUGGGGUGCAGUGGGAUUCACUGCUUCACAUGCUCCUUGUGCACACAUUUGAGUGCCUACUGUAUGCAGGCACUACAGGGGAGACAGGGUGACCAGGACAAGUCUUCCGACCUCAAGAAGCUUCAAGUCUAUUGGGGUUGGGAUGGAGUAGUGACACCACCCACCCCCCCAUCACCAUAAGUGUGAGACACAAGCCAAGGAGGCUCUGUGUGGGAGGCCCACUGACACUGCUGGAGCUACUUAGUGGGGCACGCUCCAGGAAGGCUUCCCAGAGGAAGGGGCUUCCCAUCCCAGAGGUCUAAGACCUUAAAGCCCCACCAGGUAUUAGUUCAUAUCUCCAGCCUCUAACAUAUUCCUAGAGACAGAAUUGUUCAAGUGGGACUUGUAGAACUCAGCUGUGCCCCAGAACCUCCAAGAUGCCCCAGGUUGGAACCAUGCUGGCCUCUCCUCUCUGCCAAAGGCCCCUUCAAGGAUGAGGCCCAAAUCCACUAAAGGACUGUUUACCACCCAGUUAUAUUCCAGACCAGAGAGGCAAGCUGGCAGCCUGCAUGCCAAACCCAACAAAAAUACGUGUUUUAGUGGCCCGUAGAGUAUUUCUUUGCACUGAAUUAUCACCAGGACUUAAAUCAACAUUUUAUCUAUUUAACCAACAUUAUCACCAACAUUUGUCACCAGGAGAGUUCAUGUAAAACUGCACAUUUCCAGCCUCUUUUGAAAGCUUCGGUGAGGCAGCCUUAGCCUAAAUUUGCCCGGGGCAGUGAUGGGGGCACUGAACAAGACUAUUCCUCAGAGUCCAUCGGGAGCCAUGGAGGGUGCUAAGCAGAGGAGGACCAGGAUCCCUCUGGCUAUGUGUGGAAAAUGGACUGCAGGGAUGAGGGAGCCCAGCGGGGAGGUGACUGCAACCAUCCAGGCAAGAAAGGAUGGUAGCCAGACCAGGUGGGAGCAGUCCGGCAGUGGGUUUGGUUCUGUCACUGUUUUAAAUGAAGAGGCUUCCUGGGGGUUAUACACAAGGUGGUAAGGAUGAUGCCAGUUCUCCUGUCCUGAGCCAUUGGAAAGAUGGGAUUGCCAAAAGCUGGGGAGGGAAACCACCAGUGGGCAGAGGAAACCAGGAUCCCAUGGCGAGUUCGAGAUGCCCCUCAGACACCCAGGUGGGAGCUUCAGGGAGGCAACCUGUUGGGGGUCUGGAGUUCAGGGCCGAGGUGGGGGCUGGAGAGAGAUGAGGAGCGGCCAGUGUAGAGAUGGUGCUUAGUGCCCCAGGCCUCAGAGUGGGCACAACUAGGGAGAGGGCCCGGGGCCACUCAACCUGGAGAGGUCACCGUCCGCCUGAGAAGCCCAGCAGGGCACAGGGCAGAGCUUCUGUGCUCCUUCCCUGGUGGGCCCGCUGACCUCUCCGGCGUCCCUUCCCCUCUCUGGGCUCCUGCUGCUCUUCCUCUGCGUGGCCAUCGCCCUCUUCGCGCCCCUGCUCUACGUCAUCGAGAACGAGAUGGCCGACAGCCCCGAGUUCACCAGCAUCCCUGCCUGCUACUGGUGGGCCGUCAUCACCAUGACGACAGUGGGCUAUGGCGACAUGGUCCCCAGGAGCACCCCGGGCCAGGUAGUGGCCCUGAGCAGCAUCCUGAGCGGCAUCCUGCUCAUGGCCUUCCCAGUCACCUCCAUCUUCCACACCUUCUCCCGCUCCUACCUGGAGCUCAAGCAGGAGCAGGAGAGGGUGAUGUUCCGGAGGGCGCAGUUCCUCAUCAAAACCAAGUCGCAGCUGAGCGUGUCCCAGGACAGUGACAUCUUGUUCGGAAGUGCCUCCUCGGACACCAGAGACAAUAACUGAGCGCGGAGGACACGCCUGCCCUGCCUGCCAUCUGUGGCCCGAAGCCAUUGCCAUCCACUGCAGACGCCUGGAGAGGGACAGGCCGCUUCCGAGUGCAGUCCUGGCGCAGCACCGACUCCCACGCACCCGGGGAAGGACACCCUCACUCCCACACCCCGGGAAGGACACCCGCACAUCAGCAGAGGGGCCCUACCCCUCUGCCUGCAGCCGUGAAAGGAAGCUGGGUCAUCAGCCCAGCCCCGCCCACCCCAGCCCUUAUGUGUGUUUCCCUCAAUAAGGAGAUGCCUUGUUCUUUUCACCAUGCAAAUAACAUGCCCAGCAAAAACUUGCUUUAUGGGUCUGCCUGGAGAAAAAAAUACAAACAGCAGCAACAGC